Long non-coding RNA from Oncorhynchus gorbuscha (pink salmon), 1520 nucleotides. RefSeq lists it as uncharacterized. The transcript has 3 exons. Lineage: Eukaryota; Metazoa; Chordata; Actinopteri; Salmoniformes; Salmonidae. The record is from RefSeq and is a predicted model, not a curated record.
CUUCGGCCUACAUCAUAAGUAACGGAAUGGUAGUAAACAUUGGCUGGAGACCAGAGGCUAAGGCCAACUGGUAUAAAUACAAUGCCAAUGUAUGGAACACUCCUGCCAUCGCUACUCCAUUUUGAAAGCAUGUACAUCAUCUAAAGAAGUAUGGAGAACUGACAGCAAACACACUGAAGAGAGAACAUGCCCCUAAAACUCCCUCCACCAUCAAGCAGAGCACAUUACUGAAGACAAUGUCUCAAAAAUCCAUUGACAAAGCUGUGGUGAAGUAUGUGGUUCAAGGGCUCCAACCAUUCGCUGUUGUAGCAUAAGAACCGUUUAGAGAGUUUGUCCAGGAUCUGCAGCUUAACUCAAAAGAUCUUAUCAAGGCCCACACUGCGCUCCAGGAUUGAUGAAGUCUCCAAGGAAAUUAAUAAGAAGGUGACUGAGGCCAUGAGAGGAAUUGACCACAUCGCCACCACCACCGACUGCUGGUCUGCAAGAAGACCGAGCUUCAUUGGUGUUAUAUCCCACUGGAUAGACCCCGACAGUCUCAACAGAUGCUCUGCAGCCCUGCCUGUAAACGGUUGAGAGGAUCGCACACCUUUGAUGUGUUGGCAGGCGCCCUAAAUGACAUCUAUUCUGAGUUUGAAAUCCAGGUUAAGAUUGUGUGAACAACAACAGACAACGGCUCUAACUUGAAAGCUUUCCAAGUUUUUGGAGAAGGUGAAAACAAUGAGACACUGGAAGCAGUGAAGCAGCUCAGCCAAGACAGGAAGAUGGGGAAGAGGAACAAGAGGAGAGUGAAGAAGUGGAGUUUGUUGACGUGGCAACGAUCUUGAAUGAAGAUGAUGGUUUUGAGUACCAGCUGCAGAAGCACCAGCGCUGUGCUUACCACCUACUCAACUUAGUAUCUACAGUCGAUGCCCUGAAAGCAACAUCCAGUGAGGCUUACAAAAAAGUGUCCCAUUUAACAUUUGGCAAGUGCCAAGCACUUUGGAACAAAUGCGGAAGAUACACACUUGCAGCCAAAACGGUUGAAGAUGCUUGAGACCUCCAGCUGCUGCACCCAAAUGCUACGAGGCGGAACUCCUGGUUCAUGGCUGUAGAAAGACUCCUGAUGAUCGACAAAGGAGAGGCGGCCUUCAGAGUUCCCUGCACAGACUUCGAGGUUCCAAUGUUCAAUCCAGCUGCACUCAUCCUUCCUUACAGAGUAUGCUUCUACCAUGAGCCCAGUUGCAAAUGCCAUCAACAUCCUGCAGGCUGAAAUCAAUGUCCAGAUGUGGUGGCUACUUCCUACUAUUAACCUGCUGAUCACAAAAAUUGACUGAAUCAAGUUGUCUCUGAAGUACUGUAAGCCUCUGGUGGAUGUGCUACAACUGGGACUGAAGAAGCGCUUAAGCCACGUAUUUCACGACACUGAGCUGAUCGAAUCAAAUCCAAUUUAUUUAUAUAGCCCUUUGUACAUCAGCUGAAAUGUCAAAGUGCUGUACAGAAACCCAGCCUAAAACCCCAAACAGCAAGCAAUGCAGGUGUAG